GGGGNNNNNCCUGGUACAUUCCCCUUGAGUUGAUCAUGGCUCGAACGAACGCUGGCGGCGUGGAUAAGACAUGCAAGUCGAACGCUGAUUUCAGGGUAGCAAUAUUCUGGAGUCGGAGUGGCGCAAGGGUGCGUAACACGUGGGUAAUUUGCCGUGAAGUUGGGGAUAACUCGCUGAAAGGCGAGCUAAUACCGAAUGUGAUCAUUGGGAGGCAUCUUUCGAUGAUUGAAGUUGGGGACCGCAAGGCCUGACGCUUCACGAUAAGCCCGCGGCCUAUCAGCUAGUUGGUGAGGUAACGGCUCACCAAGGCUAAGACGGGUAGCUGGUCUGAGAGGACGACCAGCCACACUGGAACUGAGACACGGUCCAGACACCUACGGGUGGCAGCAGUCGAGAAUUUUUCUCAAUGGGCGAAAGCCUGAAGGAGCGACGCCGCGUGGGGGAUGAAUGGCUUCGGCCCGUAAACCCCUGUCAUUUGCGAACAAACCUUGUCCGAUAACACCGGACGAGCUGAUUGUAGUGAAAGAGGAAGGGACGGCUAACUCUGUGCCAGCAGCCGCGGUAAUACAGAGGUCCCAAGCGUUGUUCGGAUUCACUGGGCGUAAAGGGUGCGUAGGUGGCUGGGUAAGUUCGAUGUGAAAUCUCCGAGCUCAACUCGGAAAUGGCAUUGAAUACUAUUCGGCUCGAGGGGUCGGAGGGGGAGACUGGAAUUCUCGGUGUAGCAGUGAAAUGCGUAGAUAUCGAGAGAACACCAGUGGCGAAGGCGAGUCUCUGGACGACUCUGA
This 785-nucleotide ribosomal RNA is filed under the name uncultured bacterium. RNAcentral's name for it is "bacterial SSU rRNA". It matches the Rfam family "Bacterial small subunit ribosomal RNA", at positions 1 to 743 of the family's 1533-position model. The record is from RNAcentral.